Molecule: transfer RNA, 69 nt
Filed under: Lucanus kanoi kanoi
Lineage: Eukaryota; Metazoa; Arthropoda; Insecta; Coleoptera; Lucanidae
Also listed under: 1 other name
Description: tRNA-Gln
Source: RNAcentral
UAUGUUUUAGUAUAUGAGGUACAGAAAUUUUUGAUGUUUCAGGGGCUAGUUUGAGUCUAGCAGAUGUAA